CAAUAGCGUAUAUUAAAGUUGUUGCGGUUAAAAAGCUCGUAGUUGGAUUUCUGCUGAGGACGACCGGUCCGCCCUUCGGGUGAGUAUCUGGUUUGGCCUUGGCAUCUUCUUGGUGAACGUAUCUGCACUUGACUGUGUGGUGCGGUACCCAGGACUUUUACUUUGAGGAAAUUAGAGUGUUUCAAGCAGGCACACGCCUUGAAUACAUUAGCAUGGAAUAAUAAGAUAGGACCUUGGUUCUAUUUUGUUGGUUUUCUAGAGCUGGAGGUAAUGAUUAAGUAGGGAUUAGGGUUGGGGGUCAUUCGUAUUAACUGUCAGAGGUGAAAUUCUUGGAUUUGUUAA
RNAcentral lists this ribosomal RNA (342 nucleotides) under uncultured eukaryote. RNAcentral describes it as "SSU rRNA". It matches the Rfam family "Eukaryotic small subunit ribosomal RNA", at positions 592 to 932 of the family's 1831-position model. The record is from RNAcentral.